This 236-nucleotide ribosomal RNA is filed under the name uncultured Actinomycetales bacterium. Its description in RNAcentral is "partial 16S ribosomal RNA". It matches the Rfam family "Bacterial small subunit ribosomal RNA", at positions 97 to 334 of the family's 1533-position model. The record is from RNAcentral. Lineage: Bacteria; Bacillati; Actinomycetota; Actinomycetes; Actinomycetales.
GGCGAACGGGUGAGUAACACGUGAGUAACCUGCCCUUGACUUUGGGAUAACUUCAGGAAACUGGGGCUAAUACCGGAUAGGAGCUCCUGCUGCAUGGUGGGGGUUGGAAAGUUUCGGCGGCUGGGGAUGGACUCGCGGCUUAUCAGCUUGUUGGUGGGGUAGUGGCUUACCAAGGCUUUGACGGGUAGCCGGCCUGAGAGGGUGACCGGCCACAUUGGGACUGAGAUACGGCCCAG